CGAGCGCUUCCUGCAGGCUCCUCUAGCAGGCGCAGCGGAGCCACAGGGCGCUCCCGUAAGGAGUCCGCCGGGUGCUGGCAGUCACCUUUGGGUAUAGAAACUCUGGAGAAGGCGCCUGGCAGCGGCGACGCCGUCAGGCUACUUCAAGAUGAAUGCCGUAGAAGCCAGUUCAAUUACCAUAACCCCACUGAACUUCAGCCUGGACUUCAAAAAUGCCACUUCUGUGCCUUUAAAUGAAACUGUAUGUGAAAAUUGGAGAGAGAUCCAUCACCUGGUUUUUCAUAUGGCCAAUAUUUGUUUUGCAGUUGGGUUGGCUAUUCCAACCACUUUUAAUCUCCAUAUGAUUGUCCUAAGAGCUAUGCUGACAAUGGGAUGUGUACUUUUUAUCAUCUGGGCAGCCCUUUUUCGUUGUGCUGUGGAUAUGGUAAUCUGGAAUGCGGCAUUCCUUGUUGUCAAUCUUCUGCAUUUUAUGUACUUGCUGUACAAGAGGAGGCCGAUAAAAAUAAAUAAAGAGCUCAGUAGCCUAUACAAGAGAAUGUUUGAACCACUCCAUGUUCCUCCAGAGCUAUUCCAAAGAUUGACAGGACAGUUCUGCAAUAUUCAGAGUCUAAAAACAGGACAAGCAUAUGCUGCAGAAGAUAAAACAUCAGUGGAUGAUCGAUUAAGUAUUCUACUAAAAGGAAAAAUGAAGGUCUCCUACCGAGGGCAUUUUCUGCAUAAUAUUUACCCAUGUGCCUUUAUAGAUUCUCCUGAAUAUCGAUCAACUCAGAUGAAUCGGGGUGAGAAAUUCCAGGUGUCAAUUACUGCUGAUGAUAACUGCAAGUUCUUAUGUUGGUCCAGAGAGAGACUUGUGUAUUUUCUAGAAUCAGAGCCAUUUCUUUUUGAAAUAUUUAAAUAUCUUAUUGGAAAGGAUAUUACAAACAAGUUAUACUCAUUAAAUGAUCCAACCCUAAGUGAUAAGACAUCCCAAAAAAUAGAUCGCCAGCCCAGUCUGUGUUCCCAGCUGUCUGUGAUGCAAAUGAGGAAUAGCAUGGCAAGUUCAAGUGAUGGUGAAGAUGGAUUACAACAGUUUCUCCGUGGAACUUCUACUGCAUCCACCCUUCCAUGAGGAAUUCAUCAACAUUUUCAAAAAUGGUAUGAAAUGCACUGAAUGUCACAUACUUGAGUGAAAUAAUAGUUUGGGUUCUGCAGAAUUAAAGACUGUAUCAGCAUACAAAAGCUGUAUCCAUCCUUCCAAGGCCAACCAUCUCCUUAUUUAAGAACAUCAGCCAAAAUGAAACCAAUUGAAGAAAGUGUGGAAGACGAUGUCUUUGAAGGUCCAUCUGCCACACCAUUUAAAGGUCAUGAAUGACUUCACAGGACAUUCAUGCAUUUGUUCAGAAGAAUUGCAACUGUAGAUGAGAUUUUUCAAAAUGAUGGCGUUAUUAUUUGUGUUUUAAUUUUAUCCGCCUUUGACUUUAUAGUAUGUAUGAGCAAACUUUUACUGAUCACUCAAACUGUACUAACCUCCACCCCAAAGAUCUUGUUUGUUUCAGUACAUCUAUAAGACUUGUUUGGGCCCUCUUUAUGCUUGAAUGAAUGGAAUAUGAGGAACUAUAUGAGGAAUGGAGGAAUUAUAUAUACAUAGGGCAUUUGUGCACACAUCUGUCCUAAAGUAAAUGACAGCCUUUACAGCAGUGGUUCUCAACCUUUCUAAUGCCGUGACCCCAUAAUAUAGUUCCCCAUGUUGUGGUGACCCCCAACCACUUAUACAUCACCGGGUGCCAGGGGCGUGGCUAAAGAAAAGGGAGGAAAAAUGGCAGACAGCCUUGUUUGGCGACCCCCGUGAAAUGGUCGUUCGACCCCAAAUGGGGUCCCGACCCACAGAUUGAGAACCACUGCUUUACAGCAUCUGGAGUGCCACAUGUGUAUUAGCCUAGGCACAUAAGAACAUUAACAUUCAAUUAUAUUGUAAUGAAUUACAUGGAUUAUAUGGAAAGUAGUCCCACUAAAAGAUAUCUUUAUUUUAGCUUUUUAGGCAAUCAGUAGGACAUGAUUCAUAAAAAAACUUAGUGCAUAGUAUCCGAUUUGCACAAUAUAGAAAAUGAAGGUUUACUACAGUAUUGACAUGUAUCUCCUGAAUAUCAAAAUUCUGGCAGCAAUAACUUACUUGUUAAAUUGGCAAGGGAGAAGAUGGUUUCUGGCAUCCUUUUCUCUCUUGAAUUGGAAAAUGAUUACUACUGUCAAGGACAAAAGUUCUAAUUAGAUAUUGUGUAGUGUGCCACUCACAUUCUGGCAUAUGUAUAAGUUAACAGUUCUCAUCUUUCCUUACUUUCUUUCGGUGUAAAUAGGGUUGAUUCCAGGCAGAAGUUUAAGUUAUUAGUAACUUUAAAACAGUCGACACCUUUCAGUGUCAUUUAUUUAUUGAAUUUAUUGGGGGAUUGUUUUUAUUAUAUUUAUUUAGUGAAAAUUUGACACUAACAUCACAGAAUUAUAAACUAAACCUAUCUUAUAUAUAAAUAAGCAAGCAUGCUUCCUAAAAACAGAAACCAUCCACGCCUACUGUUAUUUUAAAGUUUAUAUUAAUGUAGGACUAUUGGCACCAAGGAUAAACUGAAUUAUGUAGCAUAAAAAUAAUAGAAAUAUUGAGAUGGUCUCUUAAUUCAUCUAAAACAUAUUGAAGUAAAUGGGCCAUCUAGAAACACGAAAUACAAAUAAAUAAAAUAAAUAAAGAAGUACUGUCAUAAAUGAUAAACACUUCUAUUCCCAUUUUCUUAAAAUUUACAAUUUCAUGCUUAAUUUUUUCACUGAAGUUGGUGACAGAGAACAGUGUUUAAUUUUAUUGUAAUUAUAGCUGAUUCAGAAAAUAACUAGAAACAGUCAUCUUGUACUGACAAGCAUCUUAUGGAAAAAGCUCUAAGGUAAAAGAAAAUACAUUUGUCAUGACAGAUGGCUCUAACAUCAGCAAUUAUUUAUGUGAUAGCUAUCUUUGAAGAUCUUUGUAUACUGCACAGUUUUUGAAAACUGAAGUUUAGUAUUAAAAAUCCAAUGGUCAGUUUGUGACAUGGAACAAGUUUAUUUUUCUACGUAUUUAAUUCUUUUGAUAAGAGACUGCCAUAAUUUAUCGCGGAUAGAAUUAUUAUUAUUAUGGAAAAACUUUACAGUUAUACAAUUCAGACUUAGAAAGUACUAGACUGGAUAAACCAAAGCAAUUUUUAAAAACUGAAUUUACUAUGUGCCAUUAUAAGUCACUGUUAUGUUGCAUCAUUUCUAAUCAGCUUGAACUGAAUUGACUAUUUCAAACCUGGACAUAGGAGAAAAAAUUAAUUAACUUUCUGGUACAAGAAAACUGUUAAAAGAAAAGCAUGUGGUUUCAAAAGAAAGCAUUUCUCUAUAUAAGCUUCUAUUUUAACAGCCAAGCAAUAGUUUUCAUGGCCUGUAUGAGUGAUUCUUAUGGUACUGUGGCUAUAUUUUUAACCAUUUAGUGAAAUAUACCUUUGUGACUGUAAUGGAUUUUUCCAAUGAAUUCAGUCCAAGUUACAUUCUUGACAGGUUUGCCAUUAACAUUACCAAAUUAUAUCUUAACGUUAACUCCACAGAUAAUUGAUUAGUCAUAAGGUACCAACAUAGCUCUUUUGCCUCUUUCCUUUUCAAAUUUUGCUGGCUACAUUUAUGGAUUUCUCUGCAACAAUAAAUAAAGUAAUAAAGUUUUUCAAUAA
Crotalus tigris (Tiger rattlesnake) is the source of this 3698-nucleotide RNA transcript. It is a transcript of the gene named blood vessel epicardial substance, with no coding region annotated. The transcript has 9 exons. The record is from RefSeq and is a predicted model, not a curated record. Lineage: Eukaryota; Metazoa; Chordata; Lepidosauria; Squamata; Viperidae.